Dromaius novaehollandiae (emu) is the source of this 599-nucleotide long non-coding RNA. RefSeq lists it as uncharacterized. The record is from RefSeq and is a predicted model, not a curated record. The transcript is spliced from 2 exons. Lineage: Eukaryota; Metazoa; Chordata; Aves; Casuariiformes; Dromaiidae.
GACCACCAUUAUUCCUUUUACACGGAAUCCCUUUAUCAUCAUACCCACGUUACUGUGAUGGCUGAAAAUUGUUAGCUAACAUUAAGAUCCAUUGAAGAACACUUUAUCGGUCAUUCCCCUCUGGAACGUCUGAAAAAGUAGCCUUAUGGUUUCCUUUGUUUUCUACUUAAGUUGGAAUUAUGAAGAAAUUCUGCAAGGGAGACUGAAAAGCUUUCCAGAGCACAAAGCUUGGGUGCGUUGAACUAGCUGUAAAAAGAUGUAGAUUCUGUUUUGAAGAAGAACCUGUUUAAAUAGAACUGCUGUAUAUUCGUGUUGGCGAGUACAAAGCUAACUGCUUUUGUUCUUGUGUUUUGUAAGCUGAAUACAGAGAUCGUUAUGUUAUCUCUUGUGAUGUAGGUGAGACCUCACGUGUUUCAGUAGCGACAUCUCCUUUUUUUAUUCUAAUUCUCUAGAGUCUGUCAAGAUUUCCCAUAACAGUCUUCUGUUCUGCUCCAACUGCCUAUCGAAUGUUGGUGCAACAUAGACUGUCCAGCUACAAAUUCAGAAGCCUGCGGCACUGUGUGAGUGCCGGGGAGCCAAUCAACCCUGAAGUGAUGGGA